GAUGAACGCUAGCGAUAGGCUUAACACAUGCAAGUCGAGGGGCAGCAUGGUCUUAGCUUGCUAAGACUGAUGGCGACCGGCGCACGGGUGCGUAACGCGUAUGCAACUUGCCUCACAGAGGGGGAUAACCCGUCGAAAGACGGACUAUACCGCGUACACUCCAUCUUGGGCAUCCAAGGUAGAGGUAAUGAAAUUCGCUGUGAGAUAGGCAUGCGUCCCAUUAGCUAGUUGGUGAGGUAACGGCUCACCAAGGCGACGAUGGGUAGGGGAACUGAGAGGUUGAACCCCCACACUGGUACUGAGACACGGACCAGACUACUACGGGAGGCAGCAGUGAGGAAUAUUGGUCAAUGGGCGAGAGCCUGAACCAGCCAAGUCGCGUGAAGGAUGACUGUCUUAUGGAUUGUAAACUUCUUUUAUACGGGAAUAACAAGAGUCACGUGUGACUCCCUGCAUGUACCGUAUGAAUAAGCAUCGGCUAACUCCGUG
RNAcentral lists this ribosomal RNA (489 nucleotides) under uncultured bacterium. RNAcentral describes it as "partial 16S ribosomal RNA". It matches the Rfam family "Bacterial small subunit ribosomal RNA", at positions 28 to 507 of the family's 1533-position model. The record is from RNAcentral.